This 480-nucleotide ribosomal RNA is filed under the name Paranemertes californica. RNAcentral's name for it is "partial 16S ribosomal RNA". It matches the Rfam family "Bacterial large subunit ribosomal RNA", at positions 1837 to 2624 of the family's 2925-position model. Lineage: Eukaryota; Metazoa; Nemertea; Enopla; Monostilifera; Emplectonematidae. The record is from RNAcentral.
GGAAGUUUAUAAAAGAUGUUUUUUGCUCAGUGUUUAUAAACAGCUGCGGUAAUUUGACCGUACAAAGGUAGCAUAAUCAUUUGCCUCAUAAUUGGGGGCUAGAAUGAAAGGAAUUACAAAAUUUUUUCUUUAUUUUUAAGAAAAAAAUAAUUUGCUUUUUUAGUGAAGAAGCUAAAAUAAGAAAGGGGGACAAGAAGACCCUUUUGAGCUUUAUUAAAUAUUUUUUUUUUAAAAAUUUUUAAUUUGGUUGGGGCGACUAAGGAAGAAAAUUUAUCUUCCUUUUUUUUAUUGAUCCAAAGUUUUUGAUUGUUAGAAUAAGCUACCAAAGGGAUAACAGCGUAAUUUUUUUUGUGAGUUCUUAUCAAAAAAAAAGAUUGCGACCUCGAUGUUGACUUAUAGUUUCCUUUUGGUGUAGCUGCUUUAAGGGUGGGUCUGUUCGACCUUUAAAACUUUACGUGAGUUGAGUUCAAACCGGCGUGA